This 11788-nucleotide long non-coding RNA is filed under the name Capsicum annuum. Its description in RNAcentral is "long non-coding RNA (CANN_LNC016631)". Lineage: Eukaryota; Viridiplantae; Streptophyta; Magnoliopsida; Solanales; Solanaceae. The record is from RNAcentral.
CUUACUCUUUCAGCUAAGCUAUGGCUAUCGGUAGCUUGGCCACGACGAGCUCGGACAUGAACAUAUGGGAGCUUCUCCGCGCCUUCUUCUGAGGUAUCGUUAGCUGAUUUUUUCCCCUUUUUUGUAGUUUCUUUUACCUGAAUUCAGCAGAAAUUAUUCAUCAAACUAAAAUUUGACUGCUCUUUCUAAAAAUCGAAUUUAGAAAUGAAUAGUAAGAGUCACUAUUCUCCUUGUAUCAAAUUGGUGAAAGAUGUUACAACCUAAGUUGGGAUGGACUCUUCACUUUGAUGUUGCACCUGUGACAGAUUCUCCAAAAAUAUACUAUCUUGGGAGAAACAAACACCCAAACGCUAACAUUUUUUAAGAGUCCAAACAAAGUACAAUUUACAACAAACAAUAUGCCACAUACCCAGUAUAAUCCCACAACUAGUGUCGGAGAUAAUAGAAUGUACACAAAACUUACCCCUACCCCUACCUGAGAAGCGGAUAGGCUAAUUCCGACAGACCCCCGGCUUAAGGAAAAGCAUAUCAAAAGGUUGUUUCCGAUAGACUCUCAGCUCAACGAAAAGCAUAUCGAAAGGAUGUUUCAAUAGACACUGAGCUCAACGAAAAGCAUAUCAAAAUACUAUUUCUGAUAGACUUUCAGCUCAACGAAAAGCAUAUCAAAGCAAAUCCAACAACGAAUUAAACUACGAGGUAGAUGGGGUUGAUUAAAAUUACCUUUUUCUCCCUUUCCUUUCUCUUCAUUGAUUUCCGAUCACCCAUCGGAACAGAACUCGCCGGAGAUGAAUUCUGAUUAAACUCAGAAUCCAUAGGUUCUUGCUUAACUAACAACGCUUUCGACCCCGAAUUCGAAAGCGUUGAAUUCGACUCCGGUGAAUUCCCAACACCAUUUCCACCACCACCAGCAGUAGUAGCAAAGACGGAGAACUUCGAUGCUCUAUCAAUCAAAGCAAUAUCCGAUGGAAAAAUCGGAAUUGGAGUCGGAGUGGGACCCAAAGCCGGAGGAGGAUAGUGAUAGUAAGGUACAUUGAUUUUAUCUGAUUCAAUUUUGUUAUCAGUUUCCGGGGUCUGAACUAAUAGCUCUACAGCUUGAUUAGCUGGAAGUCCAAGUAAAGCAGUGAAUGAACUUCCGGGUUCUGAUGUAAUGGGCAAGAUCUCCUCAUCGAAGCUGUUGAAAUCAGUUGGUAUUUCUCCCAUUUUAGCUCCGGAAUUAUCGGAUCUAGAUUUGAUCUUGCUCGCUAACUUUGAUAGCAACAAUAUGUAGUCAAAUUCUGAUAACAAUUUACACUUUAUUGCUACAAAAAAUUGAAGAGAAAAUGGAAAAAGGGGUUAUAGGAACUGAGCUAAACAGAGGUAAAAUGAAGCUUUCUAUUUACUUUUUCUUCUUCUUCUUCUUCUCUAUAGUUUGGUAGCAAUUUUGCGAAGUUUUUUGAGUGCAAUUUUGCAGUAACCACACAAAAUUUGAGUCAAUGAGCUUCAGAACACCAACAAACAAAGAAAAAAAUGAUGGAAAAGAGUGAAAAAGCUGAGCCAAAUAGAGGUAAUUGAAGAUUUCUUGAGUGAAAAUGAAGCUUUACACACUUUUCCUUCUUCUCUCUUUCUUUUAUGUUGCAAUUUUGAGAGCUUCAGGAGCUUCAAUGGCUUCAAGUUUUACACAAACCCCACAAAUUCAACACAAUGAGCUUCCCAACACUAAGAAAAAAUGGAAAAAGGGAGCUAAAAAUACUCAGCUAAACACAAGUAGGUUGAAAUUUAUGAGUGAAAAUGAAGCUUUCUAUAUACUCUUUCUUCUCUCAUCUCUUUUCAAUUCUUCAGAGAUUUUUUUUUCCUUUUUUUUUUUUCUAUGUGGAGCUUAUUUAUUACCACCUUCAAUGGCAGUCAAUAAUAUAUUUUUUUUUUUUGCCUGCAAAUUUCUCUGUACGGUCUUUGUUUUGUUUGUUAUCUUUGACUCUAUAAAAAGAUUUGCCACUUUUUGUGCUCUGCCUUUAAAAAGUAGUAAUUGUAAGUUGCUUUGAUUUUUGUGCACUUACCAAAAUCUUAAGGUACCAAAUUUAAAAUUUUUAUAAUAUAUUAACUCUAGGUGAUAUAUAUAUAUAUAUUUCACGUACCACAACAAUAAUAAGAGGUACGUUGGUAGAUUGUUUAAAUAAAAUAAUAGUAAUCGAUUUGCGUAUUAUUAAUAUUUUAUUAUAAAAAUGUUUUGUUUUUAUUUUAAAUUAUCACAAAAUUAUUGAGACACACUUAAACUUGAGAGGGUUCUAUUAUUUUUGGACUAAUUAAAAUUAUAUUUUUGACAAUCUUAAUGUCUAUAUGGCACAUACAUGAUACAUACGUGUGCUUAUGUGGUACUAUUAACUGUCACUUAAAUAUGAGAUAAAAGAAAUUAUUUCUGGUAGAUUCUCAACUUAAGAUAAAAUAAAAUUAUAAAAAUGAUAUUUCUUUGUAAAAAUUAACCUAUCGGAGUCAAUUGAUAGUUGAUUAGAGUUAUAUGAAUAUCAUUCGUGAAGUAUGAAUUCUAUGAAUCUUUUAUAAAAUUUAAAGUUACAUAAAAGUUUUGAAUAUUUUAGGCCGAAGUUUUAUUUGUCAAAGCUAUAAUACCAUAGUUAUUUUAUGUUUUAGCUAAAAAUAUUUUUGUAGAUAUGUUACUUUUACCUCAAAAAGUAUUAAAAAAAAAAUUAUUAUAAGAAACACUUUAUAAUUGAUUAUUCGAACUUGAUUAUACGAAUAAAAUUUCAAGUUAACAAAUAAUUCAAAUUUUAAAAAGCAGCUCAAUUUGACAACUGAAUAAAUUGUAUUGACAUAAUAAAUCCAUUAUUUUUAUUCAUUAUUUUAGAGGUGCAAUUAAUUCCAAUAAUAUUAGUCAAAAUUAAAAUGAGGGGUUGAAGUAGAGAUACGUUUUUUUUGUUAAAAAGAAAAUAUACAUAAAUAAUUUUGAGAUAAAAUACAGAAUUAUUUAAUUAUAUAUUUGAUUAAAAAUAUUAUUUUCUUCGUUUCAAAAAGAAUCUUUUCUUUUUAGUCCGUUUAAAAAAGAAAGACACUUUUUCUUUUUUGACAAUACUUUAAUUUCAACUUUUCACGUGGCAUAUUUAAGACCACAAAAUUAAAGAAUAUUUUGGUCUAUUUGAUACAACUUUAAUUGAAGGCUAUAAGAUUUAAAAACUUCUUUAUUUUUUUUAAAAUUUUAUGUUAAAUCGAAGUAAGUUAUUCUUUAACAUAAUGAUAAAUAAGUUACUCUCUCUCUGUAUAUAUAAUGAGAUAAAAUCUUUUUGAAAUAAUUUAUUCCCAACCAAAUGAGUAGACAAAAAGGCAUAGUAAAUGGGAUGGGUUUUAUUGUGGGCUCACCAGAUUCUUACCCAACCUGACACUCUUUUAAUUACAGUGGAUGGCCUGUCUUUUUCUUUACAUUUAUGUCAUUUUAUGUUUUCUUGGGUCGGAAAAUUUUAUCUGAAAUAAAUUUUUUUAUUUUCAUAAAUCAGUUUGCAAAAUUAUAUUUGAUAUAUUGUUGUUGUUAUUAUUAUAAGCAAAAUAAUUAUAAGAGUUUGUUAAAUUUUGAGUGAGAUGCUCGAUUAUUGUAUCUGUUGUGUAAAGUAUCUUUGAGUUGUUCUUUAUUCGAAAUGAGCUACUUGAUCUCUUAUAAGUAGUGACACAAAUGUCGAUUAUAUGUCAAAUAUUUUUCUUUUGAGCCGAGAAUAUUUUGAAAAUACAUCCUACUUUCUUUAUACUUCACUUGUGAGAGAUUAUGUUGAGUACGUUGUUGUUGAUACUCUAAGCGGUGAAUUGAUUUCUCAGAUAGCCGCUCAACUAAUAAAAUAAUUAUUUUCUCAAGAAGUUAUUUAUUCGACUCAACCAAAAAAAGCAUAUUGAGAGAAGUAGUUAAGAAGAAGUGUAAUGACUGAGAGUUAUUAAAACUAACAUAUUAAAAAAACAAAAUUAACACAUGAGCAACUAAUAUAUUAUUAAGUAAAAGUGAAUACAACGGUUGUGAAUCGAAUACAACAGCUAAAUGGUAUUCUAUUUAUAUUUAAUAUGAAUACAGAUUAUUGAUAAAAUCGAAUACAGCGGACGUAAAUUGAAUACAGCGGCUAUAAAUGGUAAUUAUAUAAAAUAUGACUAUGAAAAAUGAAUUUUCCAGCAAAAUAUAACUAUUUUUAAGAGAUCCUCUUAAAAAAACAACGAACCUAAAUAACACACGAGCAAUUAAUAUAUUAUAAAGUUUCUUCCUUUUGAUCCAAUUUGUAACCUUAAUUAGCAUAUUCAUUUCAUUAUUUUUCUGAUCAAGCUAGAUAUUAUUAAAAAAAAUAUAUAUCGAAUACACCACCCAUGCCAAAUUAAUAAAAAGAAAUUAUUCUAUUCAAAUUUUAACAAGUAACAUGUGUAACAAGUUAUCCAAGUAUUGUCAUAUGUAUACUCAACUUUUGCUGCAAAAUAGUUAUUAAAGUUAUUAUGAUACCUUCUUAUAGCAUAUGAAUUAAUUAGCAAUUGGACCAAAAUGACAAAAAAAAAAAAAAAAAAAAAAAAAAAAAGGAAUAAAGCUUUUGGACAUUUGGGAAAUAUUCAACACGCAAGCUUAAAUAGAAGGGGGGAUUUUGUCAGAUCAGAAAAGUAAAGGGUUGUCCAGGCAAAUUUGGCAAAAAAAUUCAACUCUUAAGUCUUAGCUUGAAACUAAAUUAUAAUUAUGCCCAUUAAUUUUAUGAGUGCACGAGUAGACCCUUUAAUGCUAUAAAAAUUGAACAAUAAAUCACUUCAAUUUUGUCAUUUACAUGCAUGAAACUCAAUCGAUCCUACGUGAAUUAGUAAACCACUCAGAUGCUGCCACCUAAUAAAAAACACACAUUAUAACUAUGACAUUUAACUUUGGUAGUGCACAAGUAGGCGCUUUAAUUAUACAAAAGCUGAACAAAAAAAACACUUCAAUUCUAACUCUGACGCGUGUAAUUUUGAGUGUUUACACACAUUUUAUCAGGUAGAAUUGGAGUUUUUUUUUGUUCAAUUUUUGUAUAGUUAAAGGGUCUACUUCUGCACUGAUACAAUUAAAGAUCAUAGUUAUAAUAUAGUGUCAAGUUAAAGUUUCUGUUUAUUAAUCUACUCUAUGUCUAGCGAAACAUAAAUUUUGUUAGAAAUUGAAGUCAUGCUUGGACAUAAGCUGUGAAAUAAUAUAACUACAAACAACAUAAAUACUGACACCCAGUAACGGAGCCACAUUGAAUUCAGGGGUUCAUAAAAUUAUACUAAUUUUACAUGAUCAAAAAUAUUUUUAUGUAUAUAUAGUAGACGUGAACCUCCUUUGACUUGUGUAUGUAUUUACUUUUGAACCUCCUCAAUUAAAAUUCUGACUUCGUUACUGCCGACUCCUUGGAGCCUAGUCACGGAAAAUUCUGACAAUUUGCAUAAUUACUGAAAAAUUCAAUCUUGAGUCUGUCGAGAUACACAAUUAGCUUCUGAUACAUCCAAUGAAGAUACAUAGUUAGUUGAAGUAAUUAUUUCGUAAGAGUGAGAAUUUGUAUAAAUAUGAUAAAUUAAGAUGUAUAUUUAUGUUAUUUUUUCAUAUUAUAAUAACAACAAAAACAAAAACAACAUACCCACCAAUAAAGUUUGGGGAGGGGGUAGAGAGGUUGUUUUCCCGAGAACCUCGAUCAAAGUACAAUAAGUCAAAGUAAGAAAGAAGAAAACGGUGAGAAAAGCAUAACAGUUAUUAAGAAAAGCAGUGCAGAACCUACACGAAAGAAACAAUAACAUCAUCAAAAUAAUUUGGCAACUGAAACAUAAUAACAAACAUAUAACGGUAGAUAUCAAAAGUCAAAACUAUAAAAAAUUACAAGUUAUGAAAAAAUAUUAUGAUUUGAAAAUAUAAAUUUAUGCGCUGCAAAAACAGUCAUACCUAUUUGUUAUAAGGGACAACAUACAUGGCCAAAAGUGCAAAUGACCUCCUUAAAAACAGAUUAAAUAGCCCCAAUGAUGGGCCAACUUCUAAUUUGGAUUAGAUUUGGUAAGAUAACAGCCUAAUUGUAGUUUGAGCAUAAGAGCCCAUUUAGCCCAAUCACAGAGUAAUUAAUUAGAGAUAAUGUUUUACUCACCACUUUUUGAUUUAUUUUUGUAAAGAAAAAAAUCAUUAUCUUAAAAUUUUAUUUUUUAUUAGUAAAACUUCAUGACAUUAUGAGCAAGAAGGUAGUUAUUUGUUAAUUUUACUAGAUAAUUUGAUCUUAUAAGUGGAGUUUGUACAGAUCGGGUUCAUGCAAACCUCACUCCUACUUUUGUGAAAAAAAAAUAUAUAUAAAAAAACUCGCUUAUUUAACUUUAUGAAUACGUUAAAUUUGUCUUACCUCGUCGCUCUUUGGAACUAUGAAUGUUAAAGUUGGUCCAAGAAAAUAUAACUCGUCCAAUCUGUUCAUUGGAGGGAGUUGGAAUUGUGCGUAUCUUCAUAGUGAGUAACCUUUUCGCGCAUUAAUAACCCCUUUAUCUACUAAAUUAAUUCAUUUUAACUCGUUUAAAUUUAGAUGAACACGAAAAACGAGCCACUAAAUGACAAACACUCCAUUAUAAAAAUGGCAUUUUUAAAACUAGUGAAAUGUCAUCCAAAGGUGAAUUCCCCCAUUUGUUGGACUUAUUACCAAUUGGAUAGGGUACAAAGUGUAAGAAAUUGACAAUAAUUCAUUGCAAGAACCUACAAGACUGGUGUUUCAUUCUACUUAUUGUCAUCGAUGGAGUCAGGAUUUUUAUUAAGGAGGUUUAGAAGUAAAUAUGUAAACUAAUCGAAGGGAGUUCAAUAUCUAUAAUAUCUACAUAAAAAAUAAUUUUAAAUAUAUGUAAAUAGUAGAAUUUUUCAUCGAAAGAAGUUAGGAUGAACCCAUCGUCUAAGGGUAGCUCCGCCCCUGAUAUUGCAUUAGAGUCAUGGCACAUAUAGCUGUGUAGAACAGAGACAUCUAAGAGCAAUUCAUGUACAUCUUUAGUUUUUCUAUGAAAUUAAUAUUCAAGUGGUCCAAAAAUCAAUUCUAUAUUUUGUAUUUCCACAAAAAUUGUGUGUUAUUACUCCUUCCGUCUCAUAUUAUCUGUUGUUUUUCAUUUCUCGAUAUUCAAAUUACUAAAUUACUAAUCCAAUUUAACUUCAAAAUUAACCAAAUUGGCAUUUCAAAAAGAAAAUCGACACUUGUUUUGACAAAAAGUGAAUUCUUACAAAAGUAGAACCCAAAAGGAAUAACACUUAAUUAAUAAUUAUAUUCAAUUAUAAAAUUAUGAUUUAAAGUAAUUAGUACUUAAAAAAUGAGGAUUUAACUUUUAUAAUUUGACCUCCAUUAUUACAUUUAAAGCUAUUUUAUAAAAAGGGAAAAACAAUAAAAAAAUCAAAAAACACCUAUAUGAAAAUGACCAACAAAUUCCUCAAAAAGAAAAGGGACACAAAAAUGUCUUACUCUAUUACAAGUUGAGUAGUAAGCAAUAUAUAUAGGGAGAUGGGACAACAAUAUCCUAAUCUCUUAAGAUUUCUCGACAUGUCAUGUCAAUUGUUUGCUACCAUAAAUACUAGAGUUAAUACAUAAAAAUAAAAAUGAUCAUAAAUCUGAAACUAAAUUAUAAUUUUGACCUUAAACUUUGAUAGUGCACAAAUAUGACCUUUAACUAUUCAAAACUGCACAAAUAUGACCUCCCUCCAAGUCAGUCCUUUUAACGAUGUGGCACCGUGUGAUUGGAUUACCUUUCCACGUAGGCGCGAGUGAAACUCACGCAUGGGAUUGCAAAAUCGGAGAUCAUAUUUGUUCAGAUUUUGAAUACUUAAAAAUCCUAUUUGUGCACUAUUAAAGUUUAAGGUCAAAAUUAUAAUUUGGUAUCAAGUUUAUGAUCAUUUUUAUGUAUUAACUCUAAAUAUUAUUAUCAUGACGGAUUCAAAAUCUAAAUUUUAUAAAUUCGAAAAGACAUUAUAGUAAAUCAUUGAUCAUAUGAGUUAUCCAUCAAAAGUUUAGUAUUUAUAUGUAGUUAGUAGAUCUCUUAACAUAUAUACAUUAUCUUCUAAGAAAUCACAAAUUGAAAAAUCUUGUUUGUGGCGACAUUCUUGUGUAAACAUUUAAACUUUGUAGACUCUUCAAGAAAAAUUCAAAUUUUGUUAGAGUUCUAGGAGUCUACUUUACCCUAAAUUUCGCCUAUUUAAAGAGUAAUAUAUUUCCGAAACAGACAUCUUGAAUAUCUCAUAAACUGAUGGAUAUUUGUAAAAAGAUCAGGAUCUCCAAUAUUUCACAAAAUCAUGAGAUAUUCAUAAAGAGAUCAUCCUAUGUUCAAGAAAUAAGCCACUAACGGCCCUCGAAUUACGGAGAAAAUCAAGAGACAAGAAUGGGAGGGACAGAUUUGUACUCACGUCGUCUAUGUUUCUUCAUAUUUUUAUUUGUGUUUGAAGUUUAUUUUACAUGAAUUAAAUUAUGUUGGAAACAAAUUGGCACGCCCAGUGGAACCAAAUCUUCCCUUCAUCUCUUCUCUCAUAAAUCAAAUCUGCAAAUCUAUAGCCUAUAGCCGCCGCAUAAGCUCUAUUGGUACUUCAAGACUCGUCAUCAAACCUACACUUCGACAAGCCUUGAAGUAGGGGCAUUUGUAAACAUCUAAAAUUUGUAGGCUCUUCAAGAAAAAAUUCAAAUUCUGUUAGAGUUCUAUGAGGCUACUUUACCCUAAAUUCCGCCUAUUUAAAGGGUAACAUAUUCCUUAAAACAGACAUCUUGAAUAUCCCAUAAACUGACGGGUAUUCGUAAAAAGAUUGGGAUCUCCAAUAUCCUACAAAAUCAUGGGAUAUUCAUAAAUAAAUCAUCCUAUAUUAGAGAAAUACGCCACUAACGGCUCUCGAAUUAAGGAGAAAAUCAAGAGAGAAGAAUCAAGGUAGAAACAGAUUUGUACUCAUGUCGUUUAUGUUUCUUCAUUUUUUUAUUUAUGGUUGAAGUUUAUUUUACAUGAAUUAAAUUAUGUUGGAAACAAAUUGGCACGCCCAGUGAGAGCAAAUCUGUCAUUCAUCUUUUCUAUCAUAAAUCAGAUCUGCAAAUCUAUAGCCGCCGCAUAAAAAUGGAAGCUCAUUGAUCUUUCAAUACUCGUCAUCAAACCUAUACUUGGACAAGCCUUGAAAUAGGGGCAUUUGUAGACAUCUAAGAUUUGUGGGAUUCUUCAAGAAGAAUCAAAUUUGGUUAGAGUUCUAGGAGGCUACUUUAUCCUAAAUCCCAUCUAUUUAAAGGGUAACAUAUUCCCUAAAACAGACAUCUUGAAUAUCCCAUAAACUGAUGGGUAUUCGUAAAAAGAUCGAGAUCUCCAAUAUCCCAUAAAAUCAUGGGAGAUUCAUAAAGAGAUCAUCCUAUGUUCGAGAAAUACGCUACUAACGGUCCUCAAAUUACGGAGAAAAUCAAGAGAAAGAAUGAACAGAUUUGUAACCACCCCGUUUAUCAAUAAAAUUGUUGUUUCUUUAUAUUUUUAUUUAUGGUUGAAAUUUAUUUUAAAUGAAUUAAAUUAUGUUGGAAACAUCGUUCACUUUUACGGGCACACUUUUAUGUCAUCACAAAUAACAUUUAGCAAUGGAUUUUGAAUUAAAAUUAUUAGGUUCCAACAAACUCGUCACUUUAACUAUGCGUUCGCCCUUUUGUUGAUGCCUAAUUUAUUUUUUUCUAGUUUCUGUACUACUUCUCGCCGUCGAUUUCAUUUUAUGUGUCAGAACUCAAAAUAAGAAGGACAAUAUAUUCAAUUUUAUGUAAAUUGGACCAUGGAAUUAAUUAGAAGUUUUUUCUAUAUUACAAAAAUAAAAUUUAUGUUUUUUAUUAAAAUUCUACAAAAUGUAGUAAAGUUUACUGUAUUUGAUGAUUUAAAAUAUUUAAAGUUCUGCAGGUCGAAGACAUAUAUUUAAGACUGCAAAUAAAAGCUACUCAUAAUGUUUAUGGUCCCAAACAAUGAAAGAAUUAAUACUAGAAAGGGAAAAAUAUAUAUAUAUAUAUUCUUCUAUUGUUUGAUAAAUCAAUUUUCUCUCUUUUUGUCUUUGCAAAUAUAUAUAAUAGCUAGAGAUUGUAGUUGGUAUAAAUAUUUAUCCAAUUCCAUAAGGUGAAAAAAUUAAAGCAAGAACAUAUAUAUCUCUUAAUCAUUUCGUAAAAAAACGUAGUAUAUUUUUACCUUCAAUAUUCUAGUAUAAUCAUUAAGUAGUCUAUCAGUGCAUUUGAACAAUGUGCUUGGACUAUGUUAUCAGCUAUGCUGCUCGGACUAUGCUCAUUAAUUUUAUGUUGUUACAUAUAUUCUACUAGCUUAUCAGCUAUGUUGCUCGGACUCUCCAAAAUGCUGCACCACAUAAAUUCCAAUCAGUCAAUGUGCAUAUAACGAUAUUUCAACUUAUGAAUAUUUAAUUGUUUCUCCUUUUUCUCAUUUUACUAUAAUUAUCAUUGUGCAUGUUAUUAAAUACAUAAGUAAAAAAACAUAUCCUUUAGAAGCAAAACAUGAUUGAGAGCUACACAAGAAAAAUGACUUUAAGUUUCAAAUAUAGACAACCAAAUCUCCUUACAACAACAUUGUUAGUACACACAAUUUUUGAUUGCUAUAACAAGAUAUUAUAAAAAAUAUAUAAUAUAACCUAAUAUGAAAAUCUGUUGCAAAUAAAACUUGAUCGUUGUAGUAUAAUAAAACUCCACUUGUGAUCUGUAGAAUUAUAUUGAAUUUGUUGUUACUAAUUAGUGAUUAGUGAUGUAAGUGUCCAAGAAAAUCCACAUUAUUUUUUUGUAAAAAUUAUUUUAUAUCUCUCAUUUUCAGAGGCUGGACCACAUAAUUAAAUCUUUUUCUGGGAAAAUAUAAUUUUCAGAAAAAUCAUAAUCAAACAGCCUAACGACCAUAGCAAUGGCCCAUUAACCUCGUGCUCUUCACGUGGAGAUGGGCCCUUUUACACUCGCAGCCCAUUAAGGUCCAAUAUUUCUAGGGUAAUUUUGGGUAAUAAGAUCAUUUCCAACUUAUAAUCAUAUUUUAAAAUAAUAAUUAUUAGAAAAUAGUUUUCAUAUUAAAAGCUAGUAUCUCUGUACCUCCCCGAGAUAGUGAUAUUAUCUGUGUAUAGCCAUAUAUUCUAUCCUCCUAGACUUAACUUGUAAGAUUUCGCUGGAUAUACUGAUGUUGUUAUUGUAUCAAAACUUAGGAGUUCAAUUUUUGUAGUCACAAUUUAGUAUAGAUAGUUUUGACGUAUAUACUAUAUAAAGUUUUGAUGGAUAGCCUUGCUACUAGUCUCGAAUGUUAGAAUCAAGCGAUUAUUAUCAACGAGUCAAAAGUUAUGGCCGGUUACAAGACCGCAAUUUUUUUUAAUAAACUAAUCCAUCAAACAAACGUGAUAUUGGAUCAUGAUUCCGAUCGAAGCCACCCUAAACCCAUGAGUCUUACACUUGGCAUGACGCAAUUUUAUAAUCAUAGCUAUCGUAUCAUGUCACUAAUCAAUACUUGGUUCUUUAGUCAAUAUUGGAAUAGAAACCGAUGUAAUUGAAAAAAAAAAAGUUCACUUAUAACUUUCAGUUUUACAAUUACGGUAUAUUUGUCUUGCUUUGAUAGAGUUGAGUGCGAUCUGUUUGAUUAACUCCUUUUUAUUUUUUCAGAUAGCCAACAAUUACUCAUUGAUAAACGCUAACUGAAAGCGAACGAGAAUGAGCACCAUGCCAUACAAGAAUCAAACUUGUGUCGUUUUAUUUGCGAAAGUGUCUUUAAAGCAAAAUAAGAAUAGAGAAUGGAACACCUUUUUGCCUCAGUCACCCGAGUCAUAGCUCAAUCACACACACAUAAUUUUUGCAAUCGAUAUCGAUCUAUAUUAUCAUAUAUA